Molecule: transfer RNA, 76 nt
Filed under: Coriobacteriales bacterium
Lineage: Bacteria; Bacillati; Actinomycetota; Coriobacteriia; Coriobacteriales
Description: tRNA-Met
Rfam family: tRNA
About the family: Transfer RNA (tRNA) molecules are approximately 80 nucleotides in length. Their secondary structure includes four short double-helical elements and three loops (D, anti-codon, and T loops).
Source: RNAcentral
UGCGGAGUGACUGGAGUGGUACCAGGAUGGGUCCAUAACCCAUAAGACGCAGGUUCGAAUCCUGCCUCCGCGACCA